GAUGUAAUUGAAUCAAACAAAAUAGAGCAUCGCCAUUAAUAGAACAAAUUAUCCUUUUUCACGAUCACACUUUAAUUAUUCUAAUUAUAAUUACAAUUUUAGUUACUUAUUUAAUAUUAAA
This is a long non-coding RNA of Melitaea cinxia (Glanville fritillary), 121 nucleotides long. RefSeq lists it as uncharacterized. The record is from RefSeq and is a predicted model, not a curated record. NCBI's taxonomy places the organism in Eukaryota, Metazoa, Arthropoda, Insecta, Lepidoptera, Nymphalidae. The transcript is spliced from 2 exons.